CGCAUCUGUGCAUGCAGCAUAUCAAUAAGCGGAGGAAAAGAAACUAACAAGGAUUCCCCUAGUAACGGCGAGUGAAGCGGGAAGAGCUCAAAUUUGAAAUCUUAAAGGGUUUCCCUUUACGAAUUGUAGUUUAAAGAAGUGUUUUCUGUUGAGGUUUUGGUAAAAGUUCUUUGGAAUAGGACAUCAUAGAGGGUGAGAAUCCCGUAUUUGACCUUUACUUUCAACUUUGUGAUACACUUUAAAGAGUCGGAUUGUUUGGGAAUGCAGUCCAAAAUGGGUGGUAAAUUUCAUCUAAAGCUAAAUAUUGGCGAGAGACCGAUAGCGAACAAGUACCGUGAGGGAAAGAUGAAAAGAACCUUGAAAAGAGAGUUAAACAGUACGUGAAAUUGUCAAAAGGGAAGCGUUUGACACCAGUGUUGUUUUUCUGAAAAUCAAUUAAAGAACUGUUUAUGCUAAGCUGUUUAGACUUUAUCAGCUAUCUGUUUAGUUUUGAGCUUUUCUUUAAUGCACUUUUCAGUUAACAAGUCAACAUCAAUUUCUUUUGCUGUAAAAAAGCUUGAGGAAGGUGGCUUGAGAUUCGUCUUAAGUGUUUAUAGCCUCUUGCCUAUGCAGUCGGAGAGAUUGAGGUCUGCAGCGUAGAUCCUUCGGGGCUAAAUGCAUUUGUGCUAAGUUAUAGCAUUUUAUAGACAACUUGUUGACUAUGAUUUGUCUUGUAGCUUACUCGCUUAUGUUAUUUUACCUACGCUUAGGAUGUUGAGCGCAUGUCUCUCUCU
RNAcentral lists this ribosomal RNA (773 nucleotides) under uncultured Neocallimastigales. RNAcentral describes it as "partial large subunit ribosomal RNA". It matches the Rfam family "Eukaryotic large subunit ribosomal RNA", at positions 26 to 616 of the family's 3401-position model. Lineage: Eukaryota; Fungi; Neocallimastigomycota; Neocallimastigomycetes; Neocallimastigales. The record is from RNAcentral.